This 492-nucleotide ribosomal RNA is filed under the name uncultured bacterium. Its description in RNAcentral is "partial 16S ribosomal RNA". It matches the Rfam family "Bacterial small subunit ribosomal RNA", at positions 29 to 507 of the family's 1533-position model. The record is from RNAcentral.
AGUGAACGCUGGCGGUAGGCCUAACACAUGCAAGUCGAACGGCAGCACAGUAAGAGCUUGCUCUUACGGGUGGCGAGUGGCGGACGGGUGAGGAAUACAUCGGAAUCUACUUUUUCGUGGGGGAUAACGUAGGGAAACUUACGCUAAUACCGCAUACGACCUACGGGUGAAAGAAGGGGAUCUUCGGACCUUGCGCGAUUGAAUGAGCCGAUGUCGGAUUAGCUAGUUGGCGGGGUAAAGGCCCACCAAGGCGACGAUCCGUAGCUGGUCUGAGAGGAUGAUCAGCCACACUGGAACUGAGACACGGUCCAGACUCCUACGGGAGGCAGCAGUGGGGAAUAUUGGACAAUGGGCGCAAGCCUGAUCCAGCCAUACUGCGUGGGUGAAGAAGGCCUUCGGGUUGUAAAGCCCUUUUGUUGGGAAAGAAAAGCAGCAGGUUAAUACCCCGCUGUUCUGACGGUACCCAAAGAAUAAGCACCGGCUAACUUCGUG